Molecule: ribosomal RNA, 1443 nt
Filed under: metagenome
Description: bacterial SSU rRNA
Rfam family: Bacterial small subunit ribosomal RNA
Source: RNAcentral
AGAGUUUGAUCCUGGCUCAGGAUGAACGCUGGCGGCGUGCUUAACACAUGCAAGUCGAACGCACCUUCGGGUGAGUGGCGGACGGGUGAGUAACGCGUGGGAAUCUGCCCUUAGGAGGGGGAUAACGGCUGGAAACGGCCGCUAAUACCCCAUAUGCCGAGAGGUGAAACGAAUUUCGCCUGAGGAUGAGCCCGCGUCUGAUUAGCUAGUUGGUGGGGUAAGAGCCCACCAAGGCGACGAUCAGUAGCUGGUCUGAGAGGAUGAUCAGCCACACUGGGACUGAGACACGGCCCAGACUCCUACGGGAGGCAGCAGUGGGGAAUUUUCCGCAAUGGGCGAAAGCCUGACGGAGCAACGCCGCGUGAGGGAUGAAGGCCUCUGGGCUGUAAACCUCUUUUCUCAAGGAAGAAGACGUGACGGUACUUGUGGAAUAAGCCACGGCUAAUUCCGUGCCAGCAGCCGCGGUAAUACGGGAGUGGCAAGCGUUAUCCGGAAUUAUUGGGCGUAAAGCGUCCGCAGGCGGCUCUGUAAGUCUGUUGUUAAAGCGUGGAGCUCAACUCCAUUUCAGCAAUGGAAACUACAGGGCUUGAGUGUGGUAGGGGCAGAGGGAAUUCCCGGUGUAGCGGUGAAAUGCGUAGAUAUCGGGAAGAACACCAGUGGCGAAGGCGCUCUGCUGGGCCAUAACUGACGCUCAUGGACGAAAGCCAGGGGAGCGAAAGGGAUUAGAUACCCCUGUAGUCCUGGCCGUAAACGAUGAACACUAGGUGUCGGGGGAAUCGACCCCCUCGGUGUCGUAGCCAACGCGUUAAGUGUUCCGCCUGGGGAGUACGCACGCAAGUGUGAAACUCAAAGGAAUUGACGGGGGCCCGCACAAGCGGUGGAGUAUGUGGUUUAAUUCGAUGCAACGCGAAGAACCUUACCAGGGUUUGACAUCCUGCGAAUCCCUUGGAAACUUGGGAGUGCCUUCGGGAGCGCAGAGACAGGUGGUGCAUGGCUGUCGUCAGCUCGUGUCGUGAGAUGUUGGGUUAAGUCCCGCAACGAGCGCAACCCACGUCUUUAGUUGCCAGCAUUCAGUUGGGCACUCUAGAGAGACCGCCGGUGAUAAACCGGAGGAAGGUGUGGAUGACGUCAAGUCAUCAUGCCCCUUACAUCCUGGGCUACACACGUACUACAAUGCUACGGACAGAGGGCAGCAAGCUCGCGAGAGUUAGCAAAUCCCAUAAACCGUGGCUCAGUUCAGAUCGUAGGCUGCAACUCGCCUACGUGAAGGAGGAAUCGCUAGUAAUCGCAGGUCAGCAUACUGCGGUGAAUACGUUCCCGGGCCUUGUACACACCGCCCGUCACACCAUGGAAGUUGGCCAUGCCCGAAGUCGUUACUCCAACCCUUGUGGAGGAGGACGCCGAAGGUGGGGCUGAUGACUGGGGUGAAGUCGUAACAAGGUA